UACGAAGGGGGCUAGCGCUGUUCGGAAUUACUGGGCGUAAAGCGCACGUAGGCGGAUAUUUAAGUCAGGGGUGAAAUCCCAGAGCUCAACUCUGGAACUGCCUUUGAUACUGGGUAUCUUGAGUAUGGAAGAGGUAAGUGGAAUUGCGAGUGUAGAGGUGAAAUUCGUAGAUAUUCGCAGGAACACCAGUGGCGAAGGCGGCUUACUGGUCCAUUACUGACGCUGAGGUGCGAAAGCGUGGGGAGCAAACAGG
Molecule: ribosomal RNA, 253 nt
Filed under: uncultured bacterium
Lineage: Bacteria
Description: partial 16S ribosomal RNA
Rfam family: Bacterial small subunit ribosomal RNA
Source: RNAcentral